Molecule: ribosomal RNA, 274 nt
Filed under: uncultured bacterium
Lineage: Bacteria
Description: partial 16S ribosomal RNA
Rfam family: Bacterial small subunit ribosomal RNA
Source: RNAcentral
GAACGAACGCUGGCGGCGUGCCUAACACAUGCAAGUCGAGCGGGAAAGUUCCCUUCGGGGGAGCGAGUACAGCGGCGAACGGGUGAGUAACACGUAGGUAACCUACCCUGGAGACUGGGAGUAACCUGCCGAAAGGCGGGCUAAUACCAGAUAAGACCACGAGGGCUGCGGCCCUUGAAGGUAAAAGAUGGCCUAUGCUUGCAAGCUAUCACUCCGGGAUGGGCCUGCGCGCCAUAGCUAGUUGGUGAGGUGACGGCUCACCAAGGCAGGAGAU